This 234-nucleotide ribosomal RNA is filed under the name uncultured Methanosaeta sp. RNAcentral describes it as "partial 16S ribosomal RNA". It matches the Rfam family "Archaeal small subunit ribosomal RNA", at positions 1105 to 1338 of the family's 1478-position model. The record is from RNAcentral. Lineage: Archaea; Methanobacteriati; Methanobacteriota; Methanomicrobia; Methanotrichales; Methanotrichaceae.
CCGCCGCUGCUAAAGCGGAGGAAGAGUGGGCAACGGUAGGUCAGUAUGCCCCGAAUAUCCCGGGCUACACGCGAGCUACAAUGGUUGGUACAAUGGGUAUCUACCCCGAAAGGGGACCGGGAAUCUCCUAAAACCAAUCUUAGUUCGGAUUGAGGGCUGCAACUCGCCCUCAUGAAGCUGGAAUCCGUAGUAAUCGCGUUUCAACAGAACGCGGUGAAUACGUCCCUGCUCCUU